Molecule: long non-coding RNA, 842 nt
Organism: Talpa occidentalis (Iberian mole)
Lineage: Eukaryota; Metazoa; Chordata; Mammalia; Eulipotyphla; Talpidae
Exons: 3
Source: RefSeq, a predicted model, not a curated record
UCCAUGCGUCACCAGCACGGCGACUGGGCCCGCUCCGGGAAAACAGCCGCUCUUCCAUGGGCUUUCACUUACCCGCUCUCCGCCCGAAUAGCCCGACGCCUCGCUUAUCUCCUGUUACGCGCAAGCACCCACCAAGGUUUGGCGCUGCCGAGCAGAGAGCUCCUUGCCUACAGACUAUAAACAUUUGAAAGAGUAAAGCUACUGCAGAGACUAGGUAGAUCCAAGAGAAGAGCAGCAAACGAAACAGCAGCUAAGAAGUCGACGAUGAGCUUGGCUGUCUUCCUGGGUCUCUCCAUCACCACCGAGUGCCCACAGUUUUCCAGAAGUUCUACCUGGCUGUUGGCAAUUGACUCGGCCAAAGUAUCCGCACCAGACACAUCGAGCACCUAAAGGACAGAAAAGGAAACAACAACAGAUGGAAAAGAUUCAGACACCCAGGUCAAAACUCCUACCUCAGCCUGAAUUUUAGGACCAAGUCAUUCCUGUGACUUUCAGAUGGAACUGACCGCCUACCAGGAGUUGUGCAGCUGCCGGCAUUACUGAGGGGAUCUGGUCUGGUAGGGUUGCCAGACAGGUCCUGAAGUCUGUGAAUAACUAGGAAUGCUUUUCCAACAAAAAGGCUACCACUUUUCUAAAGCUGAUUUUUUAAAAACUAACUCAUUUAAGUUCAUCUGAAUGACCUUGCUGUUCUGCCAACUUGACCUAAUUUUCCCCCCAACAUCCUCUCUGGCACUGGAUUUGCAUUCAAAUCCCCUCUCUUAAUCACUUUCCCUUUCAGCUCAUCAUAACAGGAGUGCCCCUUCUCUCCAUUGUUAACAGCAAAAAUAAAACUGUAAAGAGUG